CCUACGGGAGGCAGCAGUAGGGAAUCUUCCGCAAUGGACGAAAGUCUGACGGAGCAACGCCGCGUGAGUGAUGAAGGUUUUCGGAUCGUAAAACUCUGUUGUUAGGGAAGAACAAGUGCCGUUCGAAAGGGCGGCACCUUGACGGUACCUAACGAGAAAGCCACGGCUAACUACGUGCCAGCAGCCGCGGUAAU
This 194-nucleotide ribosomal RNA is filed under the name uncultured bacterium. Its description in RNAcentral is "partial 16S ribosomal RNA". It matches the Rfam family "Bacterial small subunit ribosomal RNA", at positions 338 to 524 of the family's 1533-position model. The record is from RNAcentral.